GAUGAACGCUGGCGGCGUGCUUAACACAUGCAAGUCGAACGAACCUUCGGGUUAGUGGCGGACGGGUGAGUAACGCGUGAGAAUUUGCCCUCAGGAGGGGGAUAACGGCUGGAAACGGCCGCUAAUACCCCAUAUGCCGAGAGGUGAAAUGAAUUUUGCCUGGGGAUGAGCUCGCGUUUGAUUAGCUAGUUGGUGGGGUAAAGGCCUACCAAGGCUUCGAUCAGUAGCUGGUUUGAGAGGAUGAUCAGCCCCACUGGGACUGAGACACGGCCCAGACUCCUACGGGAGGCAGCAGUGGGGAAUUUUUCGCAAUGGGCGAAAGCCUGACGGAGCAACGCCGCGUGAGGGAUGAAGGCCUUUGGGCUGUAAACCUCUUUUAUCAAGGAAGAAGAUUUGACGGUAAAGGAUGAAUAAGCCCCGGCUAAUUCCGUGCCAGCAGCC
Molecule: ribosomal RNA, 441 nt
Filed under: uncultured bacterium
Lineage: Bacteria
Description: bacterial SSU rRNA
Rfam family: Bacterial small subunit ribosomal RNA
Source: RNAcentral